Molecule: non-coding RNA, 1317 nt
Organism: Sus scrofa (pig)
Lineage: Eukaryota; Metazoa; Chordata; Mammalia; Artiodactyla; Suidae
Source: RefSeq, a predicted model, not a curated record
AAACAAGAAAACUCCACCUGUAAGUUGAGAAUUAGGUUUUAUUAGGUGGCAUACUGAGGGCUUACACCCAGGCAGCAGCUUCGUAGACCGCUCUGAGGGACCGUUCCAAAGAGGUCAGUGAGGAAUGGGGAUGCAGAGAAAUUUUUGCAACAAAAACCAGAGAGUGGGAACAUCCAACAGUGACUGUUAUUUUAAGAAAAACCAGACAUCUCACAGGAAGGAAGGGAGUGCUUUUCUGUGUCUGGGAAGAUGCAGGGUUCUGGGUUCAGUGAAACCACUCCUUUCAUAGGCACCUCAGCUCCUUGGGGCCAGAGUCCUAUUUUUCCCCAACCCACCAUCCUUCCCCACAGGAGGCACUGCCCAGAGCAGCUGUGGUGGCUGCUGGCUUGAUGGCUGCAAGCGUGAUGGCUGCAAGCGUGUUUAUUUACGGGAAAGGUGAUAUUAAAAGGUAAUGCAUGUUGGAUUAAAAAAACCCAUUUGUAUUGAGAUGUCUUUCAACGCCCAGAAAACACACUGAUCAAUCCUGUGACUUUUGAGGAAUAUAUGGAAAGUUAAGACUCCCAUCAAAAUGUCUUCAUGUCCAAGAAACACGGGAUCUGAAUCACUAUCCAUAGAAAGAAGUUUCUCCCUGUGGAUGACAGCGGUGCCUCACCACGCAUCAAAUUGAAACCGUAAAUUUGUUCCUGAGCAGGACUCCACGGAGCCUUCGUAUGUCCUCUGCCUGCUUCCUGUCGGUAGAAAAGCUUUAGCCUCAGGACCCAGCCAUAAAAAAGAAUGACACCACCUCAUUCCUUGCAACAUGGGUGGACCUAGAGACCUUCAUGCUGAGACAUCCCUCUGACAGAGAAAGACAAAUACCGCAUGAUAUCACUCCUAUGUGAAAUGCAAUAAAAAUGACAUAAAAAACUUAUUGACAAAACAGAAACAGACCCAUAGAUUUCAAAAUAAAACUGAUGGUUAGCAAAGGGGAAAUGGGGGUGGGAAGGAAGGAUAAAUGAGGAGGUUGGGAUUAACUUUUAAUAGAUACACUGUAUAUAACAUGGGUAAGUAACAAAGAGUUGCUGUCUAACACAGGGAAUGCUAUUCGAUAUUCUGUAACCAUCAGCAUGGGAAAAGAACCUGAAAAAGAAUGGAUAUGCGUGUAUGUAAAAUAGUUUCACUUGGCCGUACACCUGAAAUUAACACAACAUUAUAAGUCAACUAUACUCCAAUAUUUUUUUAAAAAAAGAACAAAUAUCCAAGCAAAAAGAGGAUGCAAUUUGAAUUUGAAUUUGAAUCACUCUAAACAUAUUAAUACAGUAUUUCUGCUAGUUAAAA